GAAGGAUCAUUAUCGAGCUAAGACUAAAAGUCUCCGAACGUGCAUGCCUUCCAUAUGCGCGUAUACGUGAGCCGCACAGUGAGCUGCACACAUGUGGUGGUGGUGGCCGUCAGCCGUGUUUUUUUGGCAGACAAUGGUCUGUAGCUUGCUGUGUGUUGAGGGGGGAUAGGUGACGUAUUGGGCUAGUUAGAAAGGUACGCCGCGAGCGCCUAUCCUCUCGUUAUUGGCAAAAACGGUAUCCAUUUGGUGUCUACACCCUACCUAGCUACUGCCUGGACCGUCGGUAGCUAUCAAAGGUGGGGAUAAAGCUCCUCGUCUUUACGGCGAGUCGAGUAGACUUAAUGAGUCUCAGCGAGGAGGCCACCAAAACCCAAACACAACCAGUCUUUUGUUUGAAAUGUUGUGAAGGUACUUCCUCGUGUUGUGCCUUUGAAACUGAGUAUAAAUCUUAGCGGUGGAUCACUCGGUUCGUGGAUCGAUGAAGAACGCAGCUAGCUGCGAUAACUAGUGCGAAUUGCAGACACAUUGAGCACUAAGAAUUCGAACGCACAUUGCGCCAUCGGGUUCAUUCCCGUUGGCACGUCUGGCUGAGGGUCGAAUUUGAAUAUCAAACAUCCGUGUGUUUUCCAACUCAUGGUGUAUUCGGCGAGCUAUGAUGGUGUUGUUGGCAAUGUGCUGCGUGUGUGUGUUGCGGCCUCUUUUAAGGAGAGGUCACUUCAUGUGCUCGAGGCAUGGCCGACGCGCCGACAUACCUUGCUAAGGCUUUGUGCCAUAUAUCGCUCGUAAUCAUUUGCUCCAUGCGAGGCGAUGAUGGCCGUCAAGUGUCGCUCUCUUAACCAUAGAUACGGCUCCGAGCACGUGUUUGCCAAUUGGCUAUCGGUUUGGGGUGCCCGUAUCAGAAUUGCUGGAAAUGGAAGAGAGGGUGAUGCUAGGUUGCUGUCACUAUGUUUUGACCUCAGCUCAGUCGUGACUACCCGCUGAAUUUAAGCAUAUAACUA
Molecule: ribosomal RNA, 998 nt
Filed under: Hysterothylacium aduncum
Lineage: Eukaryota; Metazoa; Nematoda; Chromadorea; Rhabditida; Raphidascarididae
Description: eukaryotic LSU rRNA
Rfam family: 5.8S ribosomal RNA (bases 444-597)
Source: RNAcentral